RNAcentral lists this long non-coding RNA (302 nucleotides) under Vulpes vulpes (red fox). RNAcentral describes it as "lncRNA (ENSVVUG00000029633.1)". The record is from RNAcentral. Lineage: Eukaryota; Metazoa; Chordata; Mammalia; Carnivora; Canidae.
AUGCCCAUUGCCCAGUCACCCCAUCUGCUCACCCACCUCUCCUCCAGCAACCAAGAGGUCGUAUCGUUGAGCUGGGUCUGGAAGAGUUGUUACUGUGCGUGUAUGUGUGUGGUGAAGAGUUUCUCAAAUUUUUUAAUCUCAGGACUCCUCAACCCUCCUCUCAGCAUUAAAGCUCUUCUCCAUCGUGGUGUCCGUGGAAAGUGUGACUUCUCUACCUCAAAUAGUUUCUUCAUUUUAACACUGGAUACGUUGGACACAUUUUUCUUAAGUCUCCCCCAAAGAAAUAAAGAUUUUGAUUUCUG